CAACACAAGGGCAUACUGCAGCAGCAUCUGGCUGGUGUGGGACCCAGAAGGCUACAGGGAGCAGUAACAAAACAUAAAGACUGCAGUCUGACAGAAGCUUUGCUAGGACUAAAUCAAAGCAGAGCUUUCAGUUAAAUCCACAACUGAUCAUUUUGUUGGCCCGGUGUUCCUACUCUGUUUGGUGUAACAGUACAAUGAAAGAAAAGAUUUGGU
Molecule: long non-coding RNA, 213 nt
Filed under: Cyanistes caeruleus (blue tit)
Lineage: Eukaryota; Metazoa; Chordata; Aves; Passeriformes; Paridae
Description: lncRNA (ENSCCEG00000010105.1)
Source: RNAcentral